GCCUCCCAGGAUGAACAAAAAGAAAAACUUUCGUUCUUCUUUUGUCUAUGCAGAAAUAUAUUGGAGACCUAAAUUGAGGAGGC
Molecule: small nucleolar RNA, 83 nt
Organism: Abrus precatorius (Indian licorice)
Lineage: Eukaryota; Viridiplantae; Streptophyta; Magnoliopsida; Fabales; Fabaceae
Product: small nucleolar RNA Z159/U59
Exons: 1
Source: RefSeq, a predicted model, not a curated record